This is a long non-coding RNA of Oncorhynchus tshawytscha (Chinook salmon), 763 nucleotides long. The record is from Ensembl. Lineage: Eukaryota; Metazoa; Chordata; Actinopteri; Salmoniformes; Salmonidae.
ACUGGGAUGACCAACACUGGUAGGUAGAGACAGACUGGGAUGACCAACACUGGUAGGUAGAGACAGACUGGGAUGACCAACACUGGUAGGCAGAGAGACUGGGAUGGCCAACACUGGUAGGUAGAGUGACUGGGAUGACCAACACUGGUAGGUAGAGAGACUGGGAUGACCAACACUGGUAGGUAGAGACAGACUGGGAUGACCAACACUGGUAGGUAGAGACAGACUGGGAUGACCAACACUGGUAGGUAGAGACAGACUGGGAUGACCAACACUGGUAGGUAGAGACAGACUGGGAUGACCAACACUGGUAGGUAGAGACAGACUGGGAUGACCAACAAUGGUAGGUAGAGACAGACUGGGAUGACCAACACUGGUAGGCAGACAGACUGGGAUGACCAACACUGGUAGGUAGAGACAGACUGGAUGACCAACACUGGUAGCUUGGCAUGUAAAGGCGAGGAAGAUGCCAAUGCCACUACAGUAUAUCUCCAUGGAAGUAUGAACCCCCAUAGCUAGCUACAGUUGGGCUCAAUUCCAUUUCAAUUCCAGUCAAUUCAGGAAGUAAAAGUAUCUCCAAUACUUUUCAAUGAGGAAUUGGAGUUUGGUUUACUUUCUGAAAUGAUUGGAAUUUAAAUGGAAUUGACCCCAAUCCUGGUAAAGAGGAGGUUUGGUACGUCCCAAUACUCCAAAACAGAGGUUUCCUUCCUGUCUUCAUAGCCAGUGAAGAGCACAGAGACAGACAGGGAGCCGUUGAAGCCCG